Long non-coding RNA from Bactrocera neohumeralis, 354 nucleotides. RefSeq lists it as uncharacterized. NCBI's taxonomy places the organism in Eukaryota, Metazoa, Arthropoda, Insecta, Diptera, Tephritidae. The record is from RefSeq and is a predicted model, not a curated record. The transcript is spliced from 3 exons.
AACUGUUGGUUGAAAUAGAGUUCAUCAGAACGUUCUGGCGCAUUCCUAUAUGGUGUUAGCAGCCAAGGUUCAAGAGGAUAUCCGGAGUCUCCUAUAAUAAUAAUAACAAAAUCAUAUACAUAAGUGUUGCUGAGAGAUGUUGAUAAUUUCUUUUAAAACAUCAAUAUAAUGUCGUCCUCAAACUUUCACGUUCUCCUGAGAGGUUCCAUACGUGGGAGUCAUGCGACUCGCCUCCAAAUCUACCAUUUACUGCCCUUAUCUGCAUUUUGUGAUCGCAUAUCUAAAAAAAAGUUUUAGGUCAUUGCACUGGAAUCAAUAUAAUUUACGAUUAAAAAAUAAGUGUUAAUUCCGUGA